This 246-nucleotide unclassified non-coding RNA is filed under the name rhizosphere metagenome. RNAcentral describes it as "partial ribosomal RNA internal transcribed spacer region". The record is from RNAcentral.
GUAGGUGAACCUGCGGAAGGAUCAUUAACACGUAUCCAUACGUAUUAUAUACCAAACCGUGAACUCGUUUGUAACAAUUGAAGGUGUGUGGUUGGGAAACUAACCUAGCAUCUGUAUCUUAUUACAAUCUUAUAAACCACUUGUAACCAAUCGAACUAAACCUAAGAAUGUGAUCAGCUAACGCUAGUUACAAUCUGUAUUUACGAAACGUAAAAACAAUUCUUAGCAACGGAUAUCUUGGUUCUC